UACCAGCACCCCGAGUGGUCGGGGCGUUUAUUGGGCCUAAAGCAUCCGUAGCCGGUUCUACAAGUCUUCCGUUAAAUCCACCUGCUUAACAGAUGGGCUGCGGAAGAUACUAUGGAGCUAGGAGGCGGGAGAGGCAAGCGGUACUCGAUGGGUAGGGGUAAAAUCCGUUGAUCCAUUGAAGACCACGAGUGGCGAAGGCGGCUUGCCAGAACGCGCUCGACGGUGAGGGAUGAAAGCUGGGGGAGCAAACCGG
This 253-nucleotide ribosomal RNA is filed under the name uncultured bacterium. Its description in RNAcentral is "partial 16S ribosomal RNA". It matches the Rfam family "Archaeal small subunit ribosomal RNA", at positions 474 to 727 of the family's 1478-position model. The record is from RNAcentral.